AGUGAACGCUGGCGGUAGGCCUAACACAUGCAAGUCGAACGGCAGCACAGUAAGAGCUUGCUCUUACGGGUGGCGAGUGGCGGACGGGUGAGGAAUACAUCGGAAUCUACUUUUUCGUGGGGGAUAACGUAGGGAAACUUACGCUAAUACCGCAUACGACCUACGGGUGAAAGCAGGGGAUCUUCGGACCUUGCGCGAUUGAAUGAGCCGAUGUCGGAUUAGCUAGUUGGCGGGGUAAAGGCCCACCAAGGCGACGAUCGGUAGCUGGGCUGGGGGGAUGAUCAGCCACACUGGAACUGAGACACGGCCCAGACUCCUACGGGAGGCAGCAGUGGGGAAGAUUGGACAAUGGGCGCAAGCCUGAUCCAGCCAUACCGCGUGGGUGAAGAAGGCCUUCGGGUUGUAAAGCCCUUUUGUUGGGAAAGAAAAGCAGCAGGUUAAUACCCCGCUGUUCUGACGGUACCCAAAGAAUAAGCACCGGCUAACUUCGU
This 491-nucleotide ribosomal RNA is filed under the name uncultured bacterium. RNAcentral's name for it is "partial 16S ribosomal RNA". It matches the Rfam family "Bacterial small subunit ribosomal RNA", at positions 29 to 506 of the family's 1533-position model. The record is from RNAcentral.